Molecule: unclassified non-coding RNA, 359 nt
Filed under: uncultured Clavariaceae
Lineage: Eukaryota; Fungi; Basidiomycota; Agaricomycetes; Agaricales; Clavariaceae
Description: sequence contains ITS1
Rfam family: 5.8S ribosomal RNA (bases 1-105)
Source: RNAcentral
GAAUUGCGAUAUGUAAUGUGAAUUGCAGAAUUCAGUGAAUCAUCGAAUCUUUGAACGCACCUUGCACCCUUUGGUAUUCCGAAGGGUAUGCCUGUUUGAGUGUCAUUAAAUUCUCAACUUCAAAAGGAUUCUUGUCUUUUUUGAAGCUUGGACUAUGGAAGUUUGCUGGAGUCACUAUCAGCUCUUCUUAAAUGCAUUAGCGGAACUUUGAAGGACCAGCUUUGGUUUGAUAAUCCUAUCUAUGCCGCUGCUGUGGACUUGUGUGUUCAGCUUCUAAUGGUCUUCGGACUGUCUCCAUUGUGAGACAUACACUUUUUAAGCUUGACCUCAAAUCAGGUAGGACUACCCGCUGAACUUAA